RNAcentral lists this long non-coding RNA (9072 nucleotides) under Homo sapiens (human). RNAcentral describes it as "HSALNT0390799". The record is from RNAcentral. Lineage: Eukaryota; Metazoa; Chordata; Mammalia; Primates; Hominidae.
CUAGACAAGAAACUUCAUUUUAGAGGUGACUUGGGAAAGUCACAGGGUUGGUGGCUGGUGGAGGCAGCAGGGCCAGGACUCUGCCCUUAGUUAGAUACAUGUAUUUUCAUCGCACAAGUCUCAGUGUUCCAGUGGGGUGUGACGGUGCCAUCAUCAGUCUGCAGAUUGAGGGAGGUGAGGAGGAAAAAGAGAGGUUGGGAGGUGUGGGGCACACAGGUCAGCAGGUGCGUAAGAGCUGCUGGAGUGGAAUAGAAGAUGCAGCCAGGGGUAACUCAUGAAGGGCUAGACUGGUUUCCCAAUGCUCUGCACAGGAAUCCUUGAGUAAAUCCCAAGGAUCCCCUCCCUGGGCCAUUGCCCCACUGCCUCCAUCUCUUUGGCUAAUUUUAGACUUAGGGACUAGAGUGGUGGGAUUAGAGUGGUUGGUGGGCUCAACGUGUAGGGACAAUGUGUUGUAAUAACUUCACUCAGAAGAAAGCUAAUGCCUCACACUGGUUCUGUUGAACACUUAUGGAGGGAAAAAAACUUGCUGUGUUUGUGGACAACUAUGUCACAAACAGUUAGUAGCCCUAAACUUAGUGUGGACAUUAUAUUUCUUGAGCUGAGGCUCCACUACUUGAUUAUGGCUAAAACACUUUUAACUCUUUUCUUCCCCACCCCGAGACAGAGUCUUGCUCUGUCACCCUAGCUGGAGUGCAGUGGCACGAUCUUGGCUCACUGCAACCUCCGCCUCCCGAGUUCAAGCACUUCUCCUGCCUCAGCCUCCCAUGUAGCUGGGAUUACAGGCGCCCGCCACCACACCUGGCUAACUUUUUAUAUUUUUAGUAGAGACGGGGUUUCACCAUCUUGGCCAGGCUGGUCUUGAACUCCUGAUCUCAUGAUCCACCCACCUUGGCCUCCCAAAGUGCUGGGAUUACAGGCAUAAGCCACCGUGCCCAGUCAAGACACUUUAACUCUUUGAGUCUCAGUCUCCUCAUCACCAAAUAAGGAUGUUAACUAGUUCCAGGGUUUCUGUGAGAAUCAAAUGAGAUACUGGAUAUGAAAGCCCUUUGUCAACUGUAUUUGGGUUUGUUUUGUUGUUUUCUGAGACACGGUCUCACUCUGUCCCCCAGGCUGGAGUGCAGUGGCGCCAUCACGGCUCACUGCAGCCUCAAACUCCCAGACUCAAGGGAUCCUCCCACCUCAGCCUCCCAAGUAGCUGGGACUACAGGUGUACACCACCAUGCCUAGCUAAUUUUUUGUAGAGAUGGGCUUUUGCCAUGUUGCCCAGGUUGGUCUUACACUCCUGGGUUCAAAGUGAUCUGCCCGCUUUGACCUCCCCAAGGUGCUGGGAUUAGAGGCAUGAGCCACAGCACCCAGCACCUUUGUCAACUGUAAAAAUAUUUACAUGAAAGGCUUUACUGAUACUAAACAUGAACCAGACUUCCAGACAAAGUUAUUAUUAGUCUGUUCUUAAACAUGACCUACCUGCCUCUUUCAUAGAGACCAGAUGUCAGGGAGGGGACCUGAGGAUCAAGUAGCAGGCUGCAGACAGACUAGGAGUAACAAGGCAGAAGCCACACCAAGAGCAAAGCCUCAGUUCCCAACCCUGGUGAAACUGCUCCCCUCCAAGACCAGACCAUCCUGACCCUUGCUCUAUCAGCUACCAGUCCUUUCUUGAGCUGGAGGCUGCAUUAUCAAUGCACUGCCACUGAGCUCCUCAGUGUUCUGGGAGACCCUAAUUCCACAGUAUGUGGCAGGGAGGAAGCAGGGAAUGAGGCAAGGGCAGGCAAGGGGAAGGCAGCCUGGCUACUAUUCCUAGUCUCUGUCUGACUUGCAUCUGUCCUUGUUGAGCUAGGGAGGAGGCUUGCUCUUCAGGAGAGAAGCCAAACUACUGAGCAAGACAAGGAGAGAUCUUAAGAUGCUAUGCACUCAGAACUUCGGCAGCCAGGACGGGACUGAAACUCUGACAGACACAAUGGGCCAAUGGGGCAGGACAUAGCUCUCAUGGCUGCCCUCAUAGCCAUGGAAAGCAGGGCAGCAGUACCAGGACCGCCCACUCCCAGGGAGCUGUGAACCAAGUCCUUGUCUUAGUUUCUUUGGGUUCCCAGUAGAGGAUGGGACUCCAGCACCUUUCUGCCUGUCUGGGUUGCUGAGUGGCACCACCUGCAUGUUCAAGUACCAGAGAAAGCAAGAAAGCUAAUUCAGCAGCAGCUCCCGGGGAGAGCCCACUUGGCACAGUCUGUAGAGUCCAGGAAGGAAAACAGGCCACCCUUCCCCCACAAGCAUCAAUGCCUAUGCUAUGUCUUUUGCUUCCUGUGAGACUGUCAGUUAGGGCCCAGUUCAGUGUAGGGCUGAGGCAGCCUGAAUGUGGUUAUUUGUGCAAGCUCCUCUUGCCUCCCCUCCCCACAACUGUUUCCAUUCUCACCAAGCAGCCACGUCCGGGUCAGACACCCAGGACAGCAGCUGGGGCUUUCCAAGGGACUUUUUGAGAAGCUAGUGAAAGUUGGGUGUUGGCUGCACAGCCUGGGCACUUGCUGAAACGCACUUCUUCCAUCCAGGACGUAAGCUCUAGCCUGGCAGGGUUGCUUUCAGGUUGAAAUUGAACAGAAAUCACCACCCACGGAGCUUUCUGUUUGCUGGGCUGGGGAAAUCCUUGAGAAACUCAGUUUGGAGUUGGGGUUAUCUGACCAUUCCCUCAGAGCUUGAAGGCACCAGAGAAAAUGGUUUUGGUUUGAAGACCAUAGUGGACAUGAGCAGCCCGGCCAGUCCCAGUUUCCCUCCCAUAGGCCUAUGUGAGGACAAGGAAGGGGAGUAGACAAACUAAUCAGAGUCAGGUCGCAUCUCUCCUCCUUCCCACACUCUCCAGGCCACAGGUAACAAGCAAAAUCAACUCAAGAGCAACACCAGGUGGCUGAGACACAAAGCCCUAGCACAGGCAGCUCUGCCCUAGCACAGCACAGCUCACCCUGCAGUUGUGGUUCUCAGCAUUUCCCCUACUAUUUUGGCUGAUUGUGCACAUAUUCUAUGUAUUGAAAAAUGGCCCAAAAAGGAGAGCAAAAGUAUUUCACCUUUAUAAUACUUAUAUAAUUUUCACAUAGCUUCGUUUCUACAAUCACAACAAUCCUGAGGUAAACAGGCAGGGUGCAAUCAUUCUCUUUUUAGAGGGAGAACAAGGAACUUAGGGAAAUCAAAAUGGGGAUACGAACAGGAUUUCUGUGGAAAUUUAAAUGAGAAUUUGUGGUAAAUUUUUUUAUCCUAAAACAACUCACCUUGGCCGAAAAAUGGGAUGUUACCCAAGGUCCCCUACUAGGCCGGAGGAGAAAAGGACCUACCUCCUACAGGGGCACAAACAAGGGAGACUAGGACUCAAUGGUCGCCCAAGGCCCAAGGGUCUCCAGUGAGUGCUUGAGACUGGCCUAAGGUAUAGGAAGAGCCGUGAAGAGAAGAAAAUAGACAAGCAGGGGAGGGAAGAAUUAUUAAACAUGGUCAAGGAGCACUCUACAAAGCCUCAGGAUUUCUUCAAGGGAUACUGCUGUGCCAGGUCUCGAGGGCAGAAGGAUACAAGUGUGAGACACCAGGGCCACCAAGUUGAUGGGGUUACUGAGCCUCUGGAUCAGCACCCUCCGAUAGGAAGCAAGGAAGCACACUACAAAGGCUGCAAUCCCAGAGGCUGAGACAGUCAAGAGGGAGUAGAAGGGCCUCUGCUGCUCUGGGAAGGUUCUUAUAGGGCAAAUAAGCUAUUACUGUGCCUAAGAGAAUGGAAGAGGGAGGCAAGGCAGGUGUCAUGGCCUUCAGAACUUUCUCGAGGUUCAUAUUUAUUGACAUUUGACCUAGAGUCCUUGGCAUGGGGAAGGCACAGACCUGGGCCACGGGUAGGAAAAUCAGCAUCCUACUCUCUCCUCAAUUCCAUCUGUUAAUCCACCAACCCAAAUCCCUCCCACCCCACCUGUAGUCCAAAGAAGAUAAAAUGAUAAAAUGAUGUGCUGCUCUCUCAACAGUCAGCUGAGUCUGAAUUGGAGGGUAGGAAGUAUUUGAAGUUCUGUUCAUUUAGUUCCAGAACAAGAAAUAAGCAGAGGCAGGAGGUGGAGAGCAAAGAUGCUGGCAGCCUUGCAUCUUGCUAGGUCUUUAUAGCUGUGUCUCUGGAUUUGUAGGCCACUCCUCGACUUUUCAGCUCCCGCACGAUUCCUGAAGCAGGAAAAGAAACAGUUCUGUGAGUCUACUCAGGGUCAGGCAUCCUUUCCGACUACUCACUCAGCAGCGGAUCCCCACCCGCCUCUGACUCCCAGUGUCUUUCGGCUCCAACGUAAGUUCACCGAACGUCUAAGAGCUGAGGAUUCAAAGGCAUGUAAGACCGCCCCUGCCCUCAGCUGCAAGACCUGUCCGCGAUCCUACGAGCCCCAUUCCGCCCUCUUUCCCCGACCUUGGUCCCCCAUGGGCCCUACAACCAGGUCCCCGACUGACACCUUGACCAGCGAACACAGCAAACAGGCCCGCAGAUGCCGCAGGUCCUUCGGCACCGUCUCCAGGGCCAUCUUCGCCGAUGGGAAGAACAACAGGGAGAUAGACGACCACAGCCUGUGCACCCGCAGGAAGUAAAUAGCUCGUUACCCAGAAUGCCCACCACUUCCGGCGCUUAGACUUCCUCUUCCGGUGUGGGCGGACGCCAGCUCCGCCCCUACCCCCGCCAGAGGAGAUGGUUUCUCCCGCCAGCAGGCGGGGAGGCUGGGCGGCCGGCCGCCACCUGGGCCGGAGCGCGUCGCAGCCACCUGAGCCCGCCGAGGGCGCGGCGGAGGCUGUGUGGGGUAGUCAGCGGGCCCCCGGGGCGGGGGGGCGGCUGCGCUUGCGCGGGAGUGUGUCGGGCUGAGCCGCAGCGCCGAGACGCGGGCUGUUUGAUCUGGGCUGGUGGCCCUGGGCGUCGGUCCUGUUCCCCGAUGGUAACCCGAAGUUUGUUUUUUUUUGUUUUGUCUCCCCGUUUUAGAAGCAUUGGGGGCAGUGAAUCCACUGUCUCCCUCUGGAUUGUCUCUGCAGAGACCGAGAAGAAAUCCAGGGACAGCCCCACCCCUCCUUCCUAACUGCGAGAGCGCUAUAGGGUUUCCACUUGCUUCCCACAGGAAUGCUGGCCUGGGAGCUACGGCGGAAAAAAAUGCGUAUUUAUCUUUUAAAACUCCGUCUGUUUGCUCGUUCCGGCUGAUAAUUUAUACUUUGCGCAGUUCUUAGCGCUUAGACACGGUUCCUUUACUAAAGACCAUUUGUAGGAGAUUAGGUGUCCUUUUUUUCCCUUUCAUUUCACCGUCUAGGAAGCGAAAUGCCUUGUUCUAUAGGCACUAAACCACCACCCCUACCAAACCUUUCUCGGGGAAGCAGAAGGGGAACUUGUGCCUUGUGAGGAAGCGACAAAGGCCCCUUCUGGCCCUGGAGACUUCACGCCAAUGGAGCACCAGCUCUCUGUCCUCGCAAUAGCCCGAGUGCAGGCAGAACGCAGUCAUUUGUGUUUAUCUGAGAGGAGCUUUGGGAUAUAAAUAGUUUCAGGCCCCGCUGCGCUGUCAUUCCAGCCCAGCCUCCUGAUUGAGCUGCUUCCGGGCGGGCUUUCUUCUUGUUGGCGGUCCCAUGCUGUGUUCAGAUGGGCUCUGUGACAGGUUUGGAUGUUUUCUAUCACUGAAUAAAACUUUCCACUUUGGAACAUAUUUUCUACACUCUAUUAUCUCAUGUAAGUCCUGCAACAACUAUUAAGUAGGCCCAUUUUAUGGACUGAAAAAGCGAGGCACAGAGUAUUUGCCCAAGGUCUGAGUCACUGAAGUAUGAUAAUGUGUGAAGUGAACAGUAUAAUAAUAAUGACUGAAGCACAGUAAGAAUCCAGUCAUGCUUUCUCCUUCCCUGAUCUCACUAAGCCACACUUUUAGGGGCUUACAAACCAGUUCUUAUUGCCAAGCCCUCUACUCUACCCUAUCCUUUCAUGAAUCGGAGCCUAGCCUCUGAUAACAUAAAUAAUUUACUUCUCUUGAUGUAGAAAGAGAUGACGUUGUUACCCUGAGUGACAGUCACGACAGAACAAAACCACAAGACCAGACCACAUUUGUGGAUAAAUAUAUUAGCAAAUAAAUAUAUUUCUUAACAUAGUGCCUGAUUCAAGCGUCUGUCUGGUUCAGAUAUAAAUACCCAUGUGGGUACCUAGGUGCUAGUCUCCCCACUAACUGAGGGAAAAAGGUUCCCAGGUGGGGUCCUCUGCCCACUUUGCCACCACAUUCACAUUCCAAAUGGGAUAAUGCCUGAGGGGCCAAGAGUGGUCAGGCUGCCCUGGGGUGAAUGUCACCCUGAUGAGGCCCAUCAGCUCUUGUCCACUCAGUGAGGCCAGACUUGUGCUCUAAUCCACUCUCCUGUGGGUCCCUGGCCUGUAUGGCUUAUACUGGGGAGCUGGGCCUCUGGGCUGUCCAAACCCAAGGGUCACACUUUGCUUUUCCUUUGUUGUCCCCAUUUUCCAUCCUUGCUCUAAGACAAAACUUUUCCCAGAGAAGAACUCUUUGUUGUCCCCGCUCAGCUGUAAUUCUGCCUUUUCUACCUUCAUUCCAUCCUUCCUCUGCCCAGAUAAAGUCCAGCAGAAAUUCCUCCUUUCUACCUCUCUGGGACUCUGAGACAGGAAAUCUUCAAGGAGGAGUUUUUCCCUCCCCACUAUUCUUAUUCUCAACCCCCAGAGGAACCAAGGCUGCUGUACCCACCUCAGGGACAGAACUCCACACUAUAGUGGGAAAGCUUCAGGGACCCCUCCUUUUAGUGCUCAGGGCUCACCUAUGCUACUGGUCCUUUUGGCAAAAAAGGAAAAUGAUAGAGCCAGGGUUGCCCCUGAUGUAGCAGCCUUACUGUGGAGGGGCCAAAGCUGGUGUUCAGAGCUCACCCAAGGAGGGAGGUGAUAAGGUGUCAUGCGUUCUGCUGAACCCACUGGCUGGUAUGAACAUGAGGCUUGGGGUGAGGGAAACCAAGUAGGGGUUGGAGAAGGAGCAGCACCUUUGUAACACCUGGCUACCCAUAGCUAGCUUUCUGCCCUCAAAAACUCAGCCUUCAAGGGAUCCAGCCCACACACGCCACAGGCAGCAGCUGGUUGCCUGGCUGGACAUGGAUUUGCUGCACUGCAGAUGUUUUCUGCAGACAAGGUCUGGAGCUGGAGCAGGAAACGGCACCCUCUCACCCUCCACCAUCACCAGUCCUCUUCCAGUGCUUCUAGGAAGUACGGCAAAAAGAAUGGUGUUUGCUGUGGUCCUUUCCUUUCCCAGGAGCAGGACUCUGUGCCAGGUAGGGCCCAAACACAUCUGGAGCACACUCUUGGUUGGAGCUAGGCCUGAACAUCUCACACAGCCUGUUCACACAGCUCCUCGAGUUCCUCCUCUGAGCCUGUAUUUAGAGAGCGGGGAGGAAAGAGGUCAUUGAGGGUCAGGCCAGGGACCUGCUUCUCUCGCCUGCAGCAGAGUGUGGCUGAGAGGGGACCACAGGGAGGGAGAAGCAGAGACUGUCUGGAAAGGGUGGUUAGAUUGAAAGCUAAGGGGGCCCCAGUUGGGACACAGGGGAGAGAAAAACAAAUCUAAAGAAAUAUAUAUAGCAACCAGUGUGUUACCAAUACUUACUAUUCAUUUAUUCACCCAAUAAAUAUUAAGGAUUCGUUGUGAAUUUGGUCUGCUACCACGUGCCAAAUAGAAGACCAAAAAGAAUAAGCAGGGACCUGGUAACCUUUUUGGAGAGAAAGUAUGAAAACAAAUGGCCAUUACGCCAGUGGGACAGGACAGGAGUCACGAGAGAUGCAUUAAGGAAGGAGAGAGACCAGGUCCAAGUGCAGCAAUCAGGAAAAGCUUCCUGGAAGUGGGGAUAAAUGAGCUGAUUCUGUAGGAAUAGGUAAGAAUUAGAUUUAUGGGAAUAGAGAAGGCAGGAGAAUAUUCUGGGCUACAGGAACUACAAGAAUUGUUUACCCAGUUUGGCUAAAGCAUGGGCCUGGGGAAGGGAGGGAAGAGAAUAGAAAAUAAGGUUGAGAAGGAAGAUGGGGGCUGGCUGGUGCAGGAACCUUUGAGGCCAAAGCAGGUUGGAUUUUUCCUCUCUGUGGACAAACAGAACAUUUGAAGAUUUCUGGACAGUUUAGUGUAAGGCAGAUGACGCUGGCAGCAAUAGGGAGGGUAGGUGAGCAGUGGAGCUGUGGUGCACAACUUUAUGGGACAUACUGGAUGGGCAGCACUCAGCCUUCGAGGCCCUGUAAGAGGGAAGGGAAGAGCUAGGAGGCUCCUGCAUGGAUCUUUAGGGUAUACCUAAGACACUGGCAGGGCCAUCAGUACUGGACUUGAAAAGAACAUGAUAAAGCUAGCCAAGAUACAGUUAACAGAAUCUGGCACUGAUUAGAUGUGAAAGGCAAGAAAAAGAGAGGCACUGAAACUAGUUCUGAGUUUGAGAGAAAAGGGAGAUAGUGGUGUGGUACUGGCAGCACUCAAAGUACACACACAAUAGGGUCCGAAUGGAAUCACAAACACAUAGCCAAAGCUUGCAGUACAUGGCUCUCUCCCCAUGGACCUGGAUGUCCUGAUUGGCAAGUUCCAUGUCUUCAGAGCCUAGCCUGGAACCUAGCACAAAGCAGGCAUAUAGUCAGAAGGAAAAAAAGGAAGGAAGGAGAAAGGAAAUGAAUAAAUGAAUGAAUUGGAUGAGGGCAGCUCCUAGGUCCUGCAGGAAGAAUUCCUACACUGAAGAAUAUUUCAGGACCUUUGUGUCACCUCCUGGGUUGGAAGGGUUCUAGUGAUGGCUGUAGACAAAGAACUGUGUCAUCCAUACAAUGGGGGAAGAUGGGGAAGAGUAGAAGGUGGAAGGUCCUGAAUGGAAAAGAGAGAUAUGUGGGCAAGUAAACACCAUGUUAAAGUUGAGAAUUUACGUGAUCACUGCUUAUGAUAUAGGGAUGCACUGAAUCCCCAAGAAAUUAAGGUCAGUCUUAUUAAUAAUGAUGUGUUGAAGGGAAGUCCUCCUUGUUCUUUUACCACAGGGGAAGAGAAGAAAACCUAAGGCUCCACAGGGCUGCUGGGAACCACCUGUGGUUUCUCUCUCUCUCUUUUUUCUCGUUGUUCACAUAGCUCU